This 438-nucleotide ribosomal RNA is filed under the name Triticum aestivum (bread wheat). Its description in RNAcentral is "partial small subunit ribosomal RNA". Lineage: Eukaryota; Viridiplantae; Streptophyta; Magnoliopsida; Poales; Poaceae. The record is from RNAcentral.
AUGAAAAACCUACAGCGCAAGGUACAACCAGUGAAGGGGAAGAUGGAGCCGAAGCCCAAGAGGAAGAAGACCAGGGCGGCGGCGCCAGCAGAGGUGGAGGAAUUCACGGCGCUUGAGCUGGAAGCGGCUGAGCAACUCAUCCGCCUUAGCGAGAGCAGCGUGUCCUUGGGCACCCUGCGCGUCCUCCCCGUCGCCCCCUGCGUGGCGCUCUCGGGUCAGUCCUCCUCCCCUCCGCGCUCCACGAAGGCCCCACCAGCGCCGCCGGCUUCGGGCGCCAUAAUUCUUGGUGGUUCCGAGGACUGGGAGGAAGAUGAGGAGCAUGAGGUGGCCGGGAGGCAGCGGAGGGUGAAGCGCUACCGCCUGAUCAGCGAGAUCUACGCCGCAACGGAGCCAAUUGGCGAGCGCACCGGUAGCAAACAAAACAAGAAAAGGGAGUAG